CCUACGGGAGGCAGCAGUGGGGAAUAUUGCACAAUGGGCGAAACCCUGAUGCAGCGACGCCGCGUGAGUGAGGACGUCUUUCGGUAUGUUAAGCUCUAUCAGCAGGGGAGAAAAUGACGGUACCUGACUAAGAAUCCCCGGCUAACUACGUUCCAGCAGCCGCGGUAAUACGUAGGGGGCAAGCGUUAUCCGGAUUUACUGGGUGUAAAGGGAGCGUAGACGGCUAAUCAAGUCAGAAGUGAAAACUUAGGGCUCAACUUUGGAAUUGCUUUUGAAACUGAGUAGCUAGAGUGCAGGAGAGGUAAGCGGAAUGCGUGGUGUAGCGGUGAAAUGCGUAGAUAUUAGGAAGAACACCAGUGGCGAAGGCGGCUUACUGGACUGUAACUGACGUUGAGGCUCGAAAGCGUGGGGAGCAAACAGGAUUAGAUACCCGAGUAGUC
RNAcentral lists this ribosomal RNA (440 nucleotides) under uncultured bacterium. RNAcentral's name for it is "partial 16S ribosomal RNA". It matches the Rfam family "Bacterial small subunit ribosomal RNA", at positions 338 to 795 of the family's 1533-position model. The record is from RNAcentral.